GGAAGAUGAAGAGAAGUUUCAAGAGAAAUGAUCUUUGUCUUGGUUCAACAAUGAUUACAAGGUUGGUUUAGUAGCACCCAACCUGGAGUAUCAACACAUGUGGCAAGACGAAAGGAUUCAAACUGAAUUGCAAGAUUAUAUCUCACCUUCGUCAUCACUGCUGUCUGACUGAGGCUGUCUGAUCCUCCUUCUCCGUU
This is a long non-coding RNA of Chiloscyllium plagiosum (whitespotted bambooshark), 197 nucleotides long. RefSeq lists it as uncharacterized. The record is from RefSeq and is a predicted model, not a curated record. Lineage: Eukaryota; Metazoa; Chordata; Chondrichthyes; Orectolobiformes; Hemiscylliidae.